Molecule: long non-coding RNA, 799 nt
Organism: Beta vulgaris subsp. vulgaris (sugar beet)
Lineage: Eukaryota; Viridiplantae; Streptophyta; Magnoliopsida; Caryophyllales; Amaranthaceae
Exons: 2
Source: RefSeq, a predicted model, not a curated record
AAUAAUAACGAGCUGACCUUACAAGUUAUAGUACUGGAAUUCUGGAAAGACAUUAUAAAUAGAGAAGAUGUGUAUGGAAAGCCAACAGUGAGUCUUCAAUACUAAUCAUUUGUCAAAGUAAGGUUUUUAUUUUUUGAGAGGUGAUAUUUGUAAAAGUAGUUGAUUAUCAUUUACCAGAAUGGCGUGCCUCAAAAAUCUGAAGUUAUUAGUUUGUGUGAUACUGCUCAUUUUCAUGGUAUCAGAUUUAGCAUCAGGGCAGUGGUGCACCGUGAAAGGUUAUGAAUGCAAUGCUAGUACAUAUCCAUGCUGCCCUGGAACAGUAUGUAGCGGGGUAAUUUCUGGUUUCUGUUGUGCUCCUGUAUGGUGGGGACAUGACUGCUCCCACUAACCAGUAACCAAUGACACAACACAAGUGCGUUAUUGUGUGUGUGAACAUGUGGUUGAUAUUUGCUAUGCCUAUCAGCCUAUAUUAUACUACCUCUGUUUUUUUUAGUUGCAAUGAUUAGACAUUUUCUACUCACACUUUAUGUAUAAUCGUUGCAACUAAAAAAAAUAGAGGUAGUAGUAAUAUUUACGUUUUAGUUGGAAGUAGGCACGUCGCCAAAUAAUAACUCCUCCAUAUGGAGGAGUAUGUACUAUGUAAUAUGUGUAUGAUUGAAUGAUGGUCCUUCGUCUGACUAUCACAUUAUCUUUGUUGUUGUUUUUUUUGCCGAAAAUCUUUGUUGUUCAAUAUGGAUGUAUUAUCAAUAUUGUCUAUGUCAUGAAUAUAUAUUGAGAACUAUGGGAUAUGUUUGUACUA